UAGCGUCGCAUUCAGCGGUUUCUGGUGACGUCACGGGGGGGACGACUCCGGUGGUCUGAAGGGUGGCAGGGGUUAGGUUCUGUCAGAGUCCCGGAGUUGUUUACCUUUGUACCUCUGGAGCAGCAGCCAACCAAAGCUGAGAACAGGAAGCUUUGAGUACAAUUAGAAAAGAAAGAAAGAAACAACGACAACCCUAUAAUAUCAUGGGGAAAUGAGGAAGAACAACCUUUACUGUACCUGACGAGGGGUUCUUUCGGAUUUACUCCUACACCACUCCCAGUCUGAAAGAUCUGGUUUCUG
Cebus imitator (Panamanian white-faced capuchin) is the source of this 300-nucleotide long non-coding RNA. RefSeq lists it as uncharacterized. Lineage: Eukaryota; Metazoa; Chordata; Mammalia; Primates; Cebidae. The record is from RefSeq and is a predicted model, not a curated record. The transcript has 3 exons.